RNAcentral lists this ribosomal RNA (499 nucleotides) under uncultured bacterium. RNAcentral describes it as "partial 16S ribosomal RNA". It matches the Rfam family "Bacterial small subunit ribosomal RNA", at positions 28 to 507 of the family's 1533-position model. The record is from RNAcentral.
GAUGAACGCUGGCGGCGUGCCUAAUACAUGCAAGUCGAGCGAACAGACGAGAGUGCUUGCACUCUCUGACGUUAGCGGCGGACGGGUGAGUAACACGUGGGUAACCUACCUAUAAGACUGGGAUAACUUCGGGAAACCGGAGCUAAUACCGGAUAAUAUUUAGCUUCGCAUGAAGCAAUAGUGAAAGACGGUUCUGCUGUCACUUAUAGAUGGACCCGCGGUGUAUUAGCUAGUUGGUGAGGUAACGGCUCACCAAGGCAACGAUACAUAGCCGACCUGAGAGGGUGAUCGGCCACACUGGGACUGAGACACGGCCCAGACUACUGCGGGAGGCAGCAGUAGGGAAUCUUCCGCAAUGGACGAAAGUCUGACGGAGCAAUGCCGCGUGAGUGAAGAAGGUUUUCGGAUCGUAAAACUCUGUUGUAAGGGAAGAACAAGUACGUUAGUAACUGAACGUAGCUUGACGGUACCUUACCAGAAAGCCACGGCUAACUACGUG